Molecule: long non-coding RNA, 1188 nt
Organism: Capsicum annuum
Lineage: Eukaryota; Viridiplantae; Streptophyta; Magnoliopsida; Solanales; Solanaceae
Exons: 2
Source: RefSeq, a predicted model, not a curated record
ACAGACUACAUUUUCUUAGAAUAUUAUCUUCUUAGAAAAAUGAUAGUAUCUUCUAUAUGAGUGAGUGACAGACACCUUUCCCAUCAGGGAAAGAUAAUAAAUAGUAUGUAUGUGAGUAUAAGGAAGAUCUGGUUAAAGAUUUUUCCAAUGUUGUAAUAUGUUCAAGAAAUAAAAAGUUUGUUUCAUAUAUUCUUUGACAAUCUUUUGUGCCAAUGAAAAAUGGGAUCUUCAGCCUUAACGGAGAAAGGACAGAACAGUAGCCUAAGAUAGUGAGUCAUAAUAGGCUAAAAAGUUCUUCAUAGCCAGAAGGAGAAGCACUACGGUGUUGAUACAGCUAACAUAAAAGAAAGUCGAAAGGAAACAAGUUUACAAAGUAAUAAGCUGGCAAGGGAUCAGGAUUUGGUUGAAUUAAGUUUCGAACCUGAACAACUUUACCAUCAGCAAAGGAGAGAAGCAAUAUUUCUCCCCCAAAUUCCUCAAAUCGCAGAAGACCAAGUAGAUCCUACUAUAAUGGUUGCAGAACUACUAUCAUGUGGGACAGUUAGAGAAGGGGCAAUCCCACUUCCAACGAACUUGAAUUCCCCAAUUCUAAGACCAACAAUUGGGGGAAAUUUUGAGUUGAAACACAAUAUGAUGCAGCUUCUUAUUAGCAGUGGACAGUUUGCAGGGCAUCCACAUGACGAUCACAAGUCCACUUGCAAAAUUUUAUUAAGCUUACUAACACAUUCACUCAAACUUGGAUGACUCCAAAUUAUGUGAGGCUGACACUGUUUCCCUAUUCUCUAUUGGGGGAAUCAAAAGGAAGGUUGAAGGCAAAGCCGGCCGAUUUAAUCACUUCAUGGGACAACUUAGCUAGAAAAUUCCUCAUCAUAUUUUUUCCUUCUAGCAAGACUACGAGACUUCGUAGUGAGAUAGUGAGUUUUAAGCAAAAAUUAGAUAAAAAUCUCUAUCAUGAAUAGGAACACUUCAAAGCCCUUUUUCGGGAUUGUCCACACCACCAACUGUCCAAUGAGGUACUUGCUCAUACUUUUUUAGAAGCUCUUGAUCAAAAUAUGAAAAUUUUACUAGAUUCAGCCGCAAGUGGUCAAGCGUUGGAGCUAACUUAUGAUGAGUUGUACACAUUGUUGAACCACAUAGCAUAAGGAAAUCUAGAGUGGUAUUUAAAUUCUAAAAGUGCCACAAAAAGAA